This is a long non-coding RNA of Uranotaenia lowii, 748 nucleotides long. RefSeq lists it as uncharacterized. The record is from RefSeq and is a predicted model, not a curated record. The transcript is spliced from 3 exons. Lineage: Eukaryota; Metazoa; Arthropoda; Insecta; Diptera; Culicidae.
UGUAAAAAAACUAGAAGGCCACAGAUCUUGAAAAUGUUUUUGUAUGGCAAAAUUUUCAAAAUGUGCCGUAAGUGUCAAAAUGUCUACCACAUUUUCCCAAGACCAGUGAACUUGCUCUAAGGGAUAAAUAAACCGUAAUCCUAGACAGAAUAUUCGAACGGUUAAAUCGAAGCCACCAUUUGUGUUUUUAUUUAUUAGCAAUAAAAUCGCUAAGAUCACUCAUAUUUUCUUUGUUCUUUUUUGUAUUCCCUUUACGGUUGGAUUGGCUAUCAAUUGGAUCGUCGGAACUGAGCGCUGUCUGCUCAAAAGACCGAUGACUAGAUUAAGACUGAGAUGACUAGCGGCAGCUUUUCGGAUUCCAGUUCCAGCGAUAGGAGCUCCAGCGGAAGUUAAUCUGGGGGUUUCAGAAGCGAUUUGUGCCGUUUUUCCAGUUCGGGAAGUGUCAACAUCUUCAACAUCAUAAUCACGCUCACGUCUCUCUCACCAUCAUAAAAUAACCAGGAUUGCCAGGAAGGAAAGAAACGAGCUUGGUGGAGUCAUUCGAAGGCUGCAGCUCUGAGCCCUAAUCUGACCGGAAGAAAUGUUAUGGAAUUUCCCGCUGCGAAUGAUAGCAACGUAUCAAUGCUAACGGGGCCAAAACAUUCAUGAAGUUGAUACCGAUCCAAAAAGUGGUGCUGAUGGUCAGUCCAAGUCACUGGGAUUUGGAGAGAAUAUCUCAGUUUCUCUGCGCCGUUUUCCCCCUUCCUGG